RNAcentral lists this transfer RNA (64 nucleotides) under Dipodomys ordii (Ord's kangaroo rat). It matches the Rfam family "tRNA". From Rfam's summary of the family: Transfer RNA (tRNA) molecules are approximately 80 nucleotides in length. The record is from Rfam by way of RNAcentral. Lineage: Eukaryota; Metazoa; Chordata; Mammalia; Rodentia; Heteromyidae.
GGUGGCUCAGUGGUAAAGCGCUUGCCUUGUAUGCAUGAGUCCCUGGGUUCAAUUCCCAGCACCA